UUCUGUUUAACUUCAGUAAACCUGGGGAGAACCGUAAUGGUGAGAACCGGGUGAAAGGAGGAUGAGCUGGCCUUAAGGCUGGUUCGGCUGAUUCGUGGAGCCCUUGAAAAGGGUAUUAGGAAGGAGUCUCCAAGUCCGUACCGAGAACCGACACAGGUGCCCUAGAUGAGUAGUCUCAGGCGUGUCGGGAACGCCCUAGGUCAGGGAACUCGGCAAAUUAGCCCCGUACCUUCGGUAUAAGGGGUGCCUGGGUCCCUAAGCGAAUGCUUGGGGGUCUAGGUCGCAGUUACAAGGGGGUCCCGACUGUUUAAUAAAAACAUAGAUCCCCGCAAGCCCGUAAGGGUGUGAACGGGGGUUGAAUCCUGGCCACUAGCGGUCCGUGAAAACCGGGUACAACCGGGCGAAGCGCCGCUGAAGGCCGGGAGUAACUCUGACUCUCUUAAGGUAGCCAAAUGCCUUGCCGGGUAAGUUCCGGCGUGCAUGAAUGGAACAACGAGGACCCCGCUGUCCCGACCUGGGGCCCGGUGAACCUACCUCUUGGUGAAAAGGCCAAGAACUUCCAACGUGGGGAGAAGACCCCGUGGAGCUUUACUGCAUCCUGUCGUUGGGGUAGGGUCAUGAUUGCAGAGCGUAGGUGGGAGUCGCUAUAUCCCAGUUCCUCAGGGGACUGGGGGAGACAACAAUGUAACACCACCCCCUCAUGGCUAUACUUCUUACCGAAGCGCAAGCUUCGGAACAUCGGCAGGUGGGCAGUUCGGCUGGGGCGGCACGCCCUUGAAAAAGUAUCAAGGGCGCCCAAAAGUCAGCUCAGGCGGGUCAGAACUCCGCCGUAGAGGGCAAGGCCAAAAGCUGGCUUGACUGGAUCCUGAAAAGCGAGGGAUCCAGGGUCGAAAGACUGGCCUAGCGACCGCUCGUGCCCCCCUCUGUGGGGGCCGGGCAUGACAGAAAAGUUACCCCGGGGAUAACAGAGCCGUCGCGGGUGAGAGCUCCCAUCGACCCCGCGGUUUGCUACCCAGAUGUCGGCUUUUCCUAUCCUGGGAGUGCAGCAGCUCCCAAGGGUGGGGCUGCCCGCCCAUUAAAAGGGAACAUGAGUUGGGAUUAGACCGUCGUGAGACAGGUCGGACUCUCCCUGUUGGAAGCGCUGGCUGCUUGAGGGGAAGGUGCGGCUAGUACGAGAGGAACGCUGUGCCGCUGCCUCUAGUUUACCGGUUGUCCGGUAGGGCACUGCCGGGCAGCCACGCAGUAAGGGGUAACCGCUGAAAGCAUCUAAGUGGGAAACCCACCACGAGACUAAGCAGCCAUCC
RNAcentral lists this ribosomal RNA (1304 nucleotides) under metagenome. Its description in RNAcentral is "bacterial LSU rRNA". It matches the Rfam family "Archaeal large subunit ribosomal RNA", at positions 1603 to 2885 of the family's 2987-position model. The record is from RNAcentral.